Molecule: non-coding RNA, 1054 nt
Organism: Nicotiana tabacum (common tobacco)
Lineage: Eukaryota; Viridiplantae; Streptophyta; Magnoliopsida; Solanales; Solanaceae
Source: RefSeq, a predicted model, not a curated record
UUAUUACUUUUGUAUUCCCCUCCAAAAUUUUAGACUAAAAUAACCCAUUCCCUCCGAUUUCUUCCGUCUAAGUUGGGGAAACUAAAAAAAAAUACUUCAAAAAUUAAAAUCUCUCAUCCCCUGUAAAGUUCUCAUUGUUGCUGCCCUAUCGCGGAGUCGCCGCCUAUCGCCGAUCCUCACCAUAGCGCCACCAAACCCAAGCUGAAAAUAGCAUAGAGCCUACACGAGCACAAGUUUUCAUUUUAACUCAUAAACAACGUAAGGACGGUUGACCACUUGAUGAGUAGUCUUCAAGGACAAUCGACAUGAUAAAUGAAAAAUUGAGUAGUAGUAGUGAGAGAUCGAAUGACCAGCCUCCUUACAGUGUUGCUUGAAAAGGAGAUAAGUGUUGGGAAAUGAAAAAAGUGGGUAUGCUCGAGGUUUGUGACUUGGUCCAACUCCUUCGAUACUGUGGGGUGGUAAAUCUUCCAUAGAAAAUAUUGUUCCAGAGGAUUCGUCUAAUGAUGUAUGAAGGUUAGAACAAAAGAUAAUAGAGUUAACAGAGUUAAACGGAAAACAAAAUAAAGAAAUGAGUUUGAUGAAACAAGAAUUAUUAUGGAUGAGACAAGUCAUGUGCAAAAUUGCUCCUAAUGAGUUAUCAUCGCAGAAUAUCAAUCUAUUCUCAACUGAACAGGUCCCUGAUGCCAACAGUGACCAUGAACGAGUACCACAAGCGCAACGAAUGCAUAGUGUUAGUGAAAAUACUCUAUCUUCUCAUGGUUAUGCAACGAGUACCACAAACAUCAAGGAUACCUAGUGUUGCUGAAAAUACUUCACUUUCUCACGGUCAUAUAGUCUGAUGAUUGAUAAUUUUGCGGGUUGAAGAUUUCAAUAUGAUGAAGAGUUGCAGAAAUUAUUUGAAGACUAUUAUUCGUUAGGAUUAGUCAUAUAAUGACAUUAGCUAUUUACUUCAAACAAUAUAAGUUUAUUUUUAAGUUAUUGUGAUAUUAAUAUUUUGGAUUAGUACUUCCUUUUAUUUGUUAAGAUUUAAUGAGAUACAUUAUGUUUUUAUGAA